ACAGGAAUAGUCAUCAACACCAAUGAGUGCCAAUACACUCGCAUUCGUAAUGCGAAGGUCGGGGGUUCGAUUCCUCUUUCCGGCACCA
Molecule: transfer RNA, 88 nt
Filed under: Burkholderia sp. WAC0059
Lineage: Bacteria; Pseudomonadati; Pseudomonadota; Betaproteobacteria; Burkholderiales; Burkholderiaceae
Description: tRNA-Thr
Rfam family: tRNA
About the family: Transfer RNA (tRNA) molecules are approximately 80 nucleotides in length.
Source: RNAcentral